Molecule: long non-coding RNA, 502 nt
Filed under: Lathyrus oleraceus (garden pea)
Lineage: Eukaryota; Viridiplantae; Streptophyta; Magnoliopsida; Fabales; Fabaceae
Description: Pisum sativum (pea) long non-coding RNA (PSAT_LNC026732)
Source: RNAcentral
AUCUCUUCUUUUCGGUCGAAUUCAGCAUCAGUCAACUAGGGACUUUGAGGGUGCUAUUUUCUUUUGUUUUCUUUUGAUUUUGCUUUUGAUUUUGCUUUCUUUUGAUUUCUUUUGAUUUUGCACCCUCCUCUUUCUUUUUUCUUUUUUUCUUCUUUUUGAUAAUGCCCCAGUUGGCUGUUCUGCUGAUUCUUGAGAUGCAGCUGAGUGUGUUCUUCUUUUCUUGCUCAAGAAGUCGGGAAAUCUCGUCAGGAAUCCCUUCAACAACAUCUUCGUCCGCUUCGAAUACAGGGAAUUCAAAAUUGGGAGAUGACGUCCGAUCAUUAUGUUCAAUGGGUUUAAGAAACAACCUGCAUAAUGAUUUUGAUAUGAAAAGCUUUUGAAAAUCAAACAAGACAAUCGUUAUGCAGAUGAAAAGAUUGCUUUUAUUCUUGUUUUUUAAGGUUUUUUGUGAUCACCAAUUUCAUGCAAAAAAGCAAAAAGGGAAAACAAAUGGAAAAACAAA